This is a small nuclear RNA of Octodon degus (degu), 111 nucleotides long. NCBI's taxonomy places the organism in Eukaryota, Metazoa, Chordata, Mammalia, Rodentia, Octodontidae. The record is from Ensembl.
GUGCUGGGAUUCACUCCACAGCACACAUACUAAAAUUGAACGAUACAGAGAAGAUCAGUAUGGCCCCUGCACAAGGAUGACGGGCAAAUUUGUAAAGCAUGCCAUAUUUUU